RNAcentral lists this ribosomal RNA (253 nucleotides) under uncultured bacterium. RNAcentral's name for it is "partial 16S ribosomal RNA". It matches the Rfam family "Bacterial small subunit ribosomal RNA", at positions 524 to 776 of the family's 1533-position model. The record is from RNAcentral.
GACGUAGGGCGCAAGCGUUGUCCGGAUUUAUUGGGCGUAAAGAGCUCGUAGGCGGUUUGUCGCGUCUGCUGUGAAAACUCGGGGCUUAACCCCGGGCCUGCAGUGGGUACGGGCAGACUAGAGUGCGGUAGGGGAGACUGGAAUUCCUGGUGUAGCGGUGAAAUGCGCAGAUAUCAGGAAGAACACCCGUGGCGAAGGCGGCUUUCUGGGACGGUACUGACGCUGAGACGCGAAAGCGUGGGGAGCGAACAGG